CGGGAGCAAUCCUGGUGGCGAGUGGCGAACGGGUGAGUAAUAUAUCGGAACGUGCCCAGUAGUGGGGGAUAACCCGGCGAAAGCCGGACUAAUACCGCAUACGACCUACGGGUGAAAGCAGGGGAUCGCAAGACCUUGCGCUAUCGGAGCGGCCGAUAUCAGAUUAGCUUGUUGGUGGGGUAAAAGCCUACCAAGGCGACGAUCUGUAGCUGGUCUGAGAGGACGACCAGCCACACUGGGACUGAGACACGGCCCAGACUCCUACGGGAGGCAGCAGUGGGGAAUUUUGGACAAUGGGCGCAAGCCUGAUCCAGCCAUGCCGCGUGCGGGAAGAAGGCCUUCGGGUUGUAAACCGCUUUUGUCAGGGAAGAAACGGCUCGGGCUAAUACCUCGGGCUAAUGACGGUACCUGAAGAAUAAGCACCGGCUAACUACGUGCCAGCAGCCGCGGUAAUACGUAGGGUGCAAGCGUUAAUCGGAAUUACUGGGCGUAAAGCGUGCGCAGGCGGUCAUGCAAGACAGAUGUGAAUCCCCGGGCUCAACCUGGGAACUGCAUUUGUGACUGCAUGACUUGAGUACGGUAGAAGGGGG
This 590-nucleotide ribosomal RNA is filed under the name uncultured bacterium. Its description in RNAcentral is "bacterial SSU rRNA". It matches the Rfam family "Bacterial small subunit ribosomal RNA", at positions 74 to 661 of the family's 1533-position model. The record is from RNAcentral.